Eubacterium sp. CAG:38 is the source of this 263-nucleotide non-coding RNA. It matches the Rfam family "Bacterial large signal recognition particle RNA". From Rfam's summary of the family: The signal recognition particle (SRP) is a universally conserved ribonucleoprotein involved in the co-translational targeting of proteins to membranes. Archaeal SRP consists of a 7S RNA and homologues of the eukaryotic SRP19 and SRP54 proteins. The record is from Rfam. Lineage: Bacteria; Bacillati; Bacillota; Clostridia; Eubacteriales; Eubacteriaceae.
CCGCGCAGCCGGGGCAUUAGCGGCGCCUUGUACCUGCAAUCCGCUAUAGCAGGGGUGAUAUCGGGCCGAGGGCAGUUUUCUGUAGAGCUGCCCGGUAUAAGUGGUGUUGACGUCUGGGUCUUUCGCAACAGGAAUUCAUGAACCAUGUCAGGUCAGGAAUGAAGCAGCAUUAAGUGAAACCUCCUGUGUGCCGGAAGGGUGCCUGGGCCGAGCUAACUGUACCGGUAACGUCUGUGGACAGCUGUACGACGUCCGGUGCGCGG